CCGGGCUCUUCCCCUCGUCCUCCCUUCUCCCCUCUGCCGUUUCAGCUGCCGCCGUUCCGUGCAGUUUGGAGCCCAAGCUUUGAAAACUCCCGUGUGGCGCCUGUCUUAAGUCUGAGCAUGCUCAGUC
Molecule: long non-coding RNA, 127 nt
Filed under: Prolemur simus (greater bamboo lemur)
Lineage: Eukaryota; Metazoa; Chordata; Mammalia; Primates; Lemuridae
Description: SMAD5 antisense RNA 1 conserved region 2 (ENSPSMG00000000271.1)
Rfam family: SMAD5 antisense RNA 1 conserved region 2
Source: RNAcentral